This 2786-nucleotide ribosomal RNA is filed under the name Salmonella enterica subsp. enterica serovar Enteritidis. RNAcentral describes it as "partial 23S ribosomal RNA". It matches the Rfam family "Bacterial large subunit ribosomal RNA". The record is from RNAcentral. Lineage: Bacteria; Pseudomonadati; Pseudomonadota; Gammaproteobacteria; Enterobacterales; Enterobacteriaceae.
UUGUGAGGUUAAGCGACUAAGCGUACACGGUGGAUGCCCUGGCAGUCAGAGGCGAUGAAGGGCGUACUAAUCUGCGAUAAGCGCCGGUAAGGUGAUAUGAACCGUUAUAACCGGCGAUACCCGAAUGGGGAAACCCAGUGUGAUUCGUCACACUAUCAUUAACUGAAUCCAUAGGUUAAUGAGGCGAACCGGGGGAACUGAAACAUCUAAGUACCCCGAGGAAAAGAAAUCAACCGAGAUUCCCCCAGUAGCGGCGAGCGAACGGGGAGGAGCCCAGAGCCUGAAUCAGCAUGUGUGUUAGUGGAAGCGUCUGGAAAGGCGCGCGAUACAGGGUGACAGCCCCGUACACAAAAGCGCAUGUGCUGUGAGCUCGAUGAGUAGGGCGGGACACGUGGUAUCCUGUCUGAAUAUGGGGGGACCAUCCUCCAAGGCUAAAUACUCCUGACUGACCGAUAGUGAACCAGUACCGUGAGGGAAAGGCGAAAAGAACCCCGGCGAGGGGAGUGAAAAAGAACCUGAAACCGUGUACGUACAAGCAGUGGGAGCACAGGUUUACCUGUGUGACUGCGUACCUUUUGUAUAAUGGGUCAGCGACUUAUAUUCUGUAGCAAGGUUAACCGAAUAGGGGAGCCGGAGGGAAACCGAGUCUUAAUUGGGCGUUAAGUUGCAGGGUAUAGACCCGAAACCCGGUGAUCUAGCCAUGGGCAGGUUGAAGGUUGGGUAACACUAACUGGAGGACCGAACCGACUAAUGUUGAAAAAUUAGCGGAUGACCUGUGGCUGGGGGUGAAAGGCCAAUCAAACCGGGAGAUAGCUGGUUCUCCCCGAAAGCUAUUUAGGUAGCGCCUCGUGAAUUCAUCUCCGGGGGUAGAGCACUGUUUCGGCUAGGGGGCCAUCCCGGCUUACCAACCCGAUGCAAACUGCGAAUACCGGAGAAUGUUAUCACGGGAGACACACGGCGGGUGCUAACGUCCGUCGUGAAGAGGGAAACAACCCAGACCGCCAGCUAAGGUCCCAAAGUCAUGGUUAAGUGGGAAACGAUGUGGGAAGGCCCAGACAGCCAGGAUGUUGGCUUAGAAGCAGCCAUCAUUUAAAGAAAGCGUAAUAGCUCACUGGUCGAGUCGGCCUGCGCGGAAGAUGUAACGGGGCUAAACCAUGCACCGAAGCUGCGGCAGCGACACUGUGUGUUGUUGGGUAGGGGAGCGUUCUGUAAGCCUGUGAAGGUGUGUCGUGAGGCAUGCUGGAGGUAUCAGAAGUGCGAAUGCUGACAUAAGUAACGAUAAAGCGGGUGAAAAGCCCGCUCGCCGGAAGACCAAGGGUUCCUGUCCAACGUUAAUCGGGGCAGGGUGAGUCGACCCCUAAGGCGAGGCCGAAAGGCGUAGUCGAUGGGAAACGGGUUAAUAUUCCCGUACUUGGUGUUACUGCGAAGGGGGGACGGAGAAGGCUAUGUUGGCCGGGCGACGGUUGUCCCGGUUUAAGCGUGUAGGUGUGUGUUCCAGGUAAAUCCGGUUCACUUUAACACUGAGGCGUGACGACGAGGCACUACGGUGCUGAAGCAACAAAUGCCCUGCUUCCAGGAAAAGCCUCUAAGCAUCAGGUAACAUCAAAUCGUACCCCAAACCGACACAGGUGGUCAGGUAGAGAAUACCAAGGCGCUUGAGAGAACUCGGGUGAAGGAACUAGGCAAAAUGGUGCCGUAACUUCGGGAGAAGGCACGCUGACACGUAGGUGAAGUGAUUUACUCAUGGAGCUGAAGUCAGUCGAAGAUACCAGCUGGCUGCAACUGUUUAUUAAAAACACAGCACUGUGCAAACACGAAAGUGGACGUAUACGGUGUGACGCCUGCCCGGUGCCGGAAGGUUAAUUGAUGGGGUCAGCGCAAGCGAAGCUCCUGAUCGAAGCCCCGGUAAACGGCGGCCGUAACUAUAACGGUCCUAAGGUAGCGAAAUUCCUUGUCGGGUAAGUUCCGACCUGCACGAAUGGCGUAAUGAUGGCCAGGCUGUCUCCACCCGAGACUCAGUGAAAUUGAACUCGCUGUGAAGAUGCAGUGUACCCGCGGCAAGACGGAAAGACCCCGUGAACCUUUACUAUAGCUUGACACUGAACAUUGAGCCUUGAUGUGUAGGAUAGGUGGGAGGCUUUGAAGUGUGGACGCCAGUCUGCAUGGAGCCGACCUUGAAAUACCACCCUUUAAUGUUUGAUGUUCUAACGUGGACCCGUUACCCGGGUUGCGGACAGUGUCUGGUGGGUAGUUUGACUGGGGCGGUCUCCUCCUAAAGAGUAACGGAGGAGCACGAAGGUUGGCUAAUCCUGGUCGGACAUCAGGAGGUUAGUGCAAUGGCAUAAGCCAGCUUGACUGCGAGCGUGACGGCGCGAGCAGGUGCGAAAGCAGGUCAUAGUGAUCCGGUGGUUCUGAAUGGAAGGGCCAUCGCUCAACGGAUAAAAGGUACUCCGGGGAUAACAGGCUGAUACCGCCCAAGAGUUCAUAUCGACGGCGGUGUUUGGCACCUCGAUGUCGGCUCAUCACAUCCUGGGGCUGAAGUAGGUCCCAAGGGUAUGGCUGUUCGCCAUUUAAAGUGGUACGCGAGCUGGGUUUAGAACGUCGUGAGACAGUUCGGUCCCUAUCUGCCGUGGGCGCUGGAGAACUGAGGGGGGCUGCUCCUAGUACGAGAGGACCGGAGUGGACGCAUCACUGGUGUUCGGGUUGUCAUGCCAAUGGCACUGCCCGGUAGCUAAAUGCGGAAGAGAUAAGUGCUGAAAGCAUCUAAGCACGAAACUUGCCCCGAG